RNAcentral lists this unclassified non-coding RNA (558 nucleotides) under Carex sp. UN-1-2011/165. RNAcentral describes it as "partial external transcribed spacer". Lineage: Eukaryota; Viridiplantae; Streptophyta; Magnoliopsida; Poales; Cyperaceae. The record is from RNAcentral.
UGCACUUUUGGUGCGGCCAACCGACAUGGGGCUGUCUCUUCACUCUCCCUCCUGUCAUUGAAUUUGUCGGGUUGGGACGCUUGUGAUCGGUUGCCUGUGCGGUUCUACCCUCUUGUGGGUAGCGAAGUCGUCCCUCGAUUGAUAUUUGCUUGCCCUACUGACAUUUUGUUGUCGUUUGGGCAGCCGAAAUGUUGGCGAAAUCCUUGUGUUGGUGCGCGGUUGAAUGCCUUGUUGCUAUCGCUUGGAUUUUUGCCGGCUCUCAUGGAUGCGGUGUCUACUGCUAGCUCUGCGGGACUUUGCCCCGCAGACUUCGGGAGGUCCCAUGUAUGAAUCAUUGCUCUUAUACGCUCUGUCGUGUUGCCGGUGGCGACACACAGAUUGUGUUCUAUUGUGUUGUCGUUGGCGACACAUCCGAACAGUGUGUCCAGAGCGUGCUCACGUGCAUGUGGAAUGCCUCUCCGUUCGUAUGAGUAGCGAUUUCCGGUUUUGCGUCAUGCGAAGGCCCGCCCGUCCGGGUCGGUGCUGGAGCUGACGUGCCGGCUCUCGUUUAAGACGUGC